RNAcentral lists this ribosomal RNA (439 nucleotides) under uncultured bacterium. RNAcentral's name for it is "partial 16S ribosomal RNA". It matches the Rfam family "Bacterial small subunit ribosomal RNA", at positions 339 to 795 of the family's 1533-position model. The record is from RNAcentral.
CUACGGGCGGCACCAGUGAGGAAUAUUGCACAAUGGAGGAAACUCCGAUGCAGCAACGCCGCGUGGAGGAUGACGCAUUUCGGUGUGUAAACUCCUUUUAUAUGUCAAGAAAAUGACGGUAGCAUAUGAAUAAGCACCGGCUAACUCCGUGCCAGCAGCCGCGGUAAUACGGAGGGUGCAAGCGUUACUCGGAAUCACUGGGCGUAAAGGACGCGUAGGCGGGAUAUCAAGUCAGGUGUGAAAUCCUACAGCUUAACUGUAGAACUGCACUUGAAACUGGUAACCUAGAGUAUGGGAGGGGGAGAUGGAAUUAGUGGUGUAGGGGUAAAAUCCGUAGAUAUCACUAGGAAUACCUAAAGCGAAGGCGAUCUCCUGGAACAUAACUGACGCUAAGGCGUGAAAGCGUGGGGAGCAAACAGGAUUAGAUACCCUAGUAGUC